Molecule: ribosomal RNA, 324 nt
Filed under: uncultured eukaryote
Lineage: Eukaryota
Description: partial 18S ribosomal RNA
Rfam family: Eukaryotic small subunit ribosomal RNA
Source: RNAcentral
CCCUUAGAUGUUCUGGGCUGCACGCGCGCUACACUGAAGCUAUCAACACGUUUUCCCUCCCUGAGAAGGGCGGGUAACCUUUUGAAUCAGCUUCGUGGUAGGGAUCGGGGCUUGCAAUUGUUCCCCGUGAACCAGGAAUUCCUAGUAGACGCGAGUCAUAAGCUCGCAUCGAUUAAGUCCCUGCCCUUUGUACACACCGCCCGUCGCUACUACCGAUUGAACGUUUUAGUGAGGCAUUUGGACCGACGCAUCUCAGUUUAACCGCUGGUUUGUGUUGGAAAGACUUCCAAACUUGAGCGUUGAGAGGAAGUAAAAGUCGGAACA